Molecule: ribosomal RNA, 254 nt
Filed under: uncultured bacterium
Lineage: Bacteria
Description: partial 16S ribosomal RNA
Rfam family: Bacterial small subunit ribosomal RNA
Source: RNAcentral
UACGUAGGGUGCGAGCGUUAAUCGGAAUUACUGGGCGUAAAGCGUGCGCAGGCGGUCUGUUAAGACCGAUGUGAAAUCCCCGGGCUUAACCUGGAAACUGCAUUGGUGACUGGCAGGCUUUGAGUGUGGCAGAGGGAGGUAGAAUUCCACGUGUAGCAGUGAAAUGCGUAGAGAUGUGGAGGAAUACCGAUGGCGAAGGCAGCCUCCUGGGCCAACACUGACGCUCAUGCACGAAAGCGUGGGGAGCAAACAGG